This is a non-coding RNA of Podarcis muralis (Common wall lizard), 648 nucleotides long. Lineage: Eukaryota; Metazoa; Chordata; Lepidosauria; Squamata; Lacertidae. The record is from RefSeq and is a predicted model, not a curated record.
AAGGGAAAGGAAAAAAUAUCUAAAUUAUUUUUGCUCCUCUCCCCCCAGAAUCAGCCAGAAGAAAUUGCGUGUCAAUAUUGUGGCUCUGCUACUGUUAACAAUGAUUAUGAAAAUAAGAGGUUGUGGGAAUCUGCGGCAUAUGUCAGGACAAAAAAUACAGAGAAUGCCCCGCAGAAAGGACAAGUUGCAGCCGUACAAAAGAGAGCAGAGGAAAAUGUGGAGUUAAAAGCUAAAGGCUUUUUAGAGUUAUUGAAAAGCUUUCUGUUCCCACCGAUACUACAGCAAAUUUUUACUGGAAGCAGUCAGCCCUCCUAAAGCAUUAUCACCACCAGAAAAUUGUUGCUGCCUGUAUCUUUUGAAUGACAUGAAUGAUUUCUAAAGAACUCAGCUUUCUAACUUAGUGCAAUUGUUUUAGAAGUUGAGGGUGCUUAAACCUCUCCUGUAUACUUGGUGUCUGAACCCUCAUUUCAUCUUUGAGUGCUUAUGUUGGUUUUGAAACUUACUCAUACAUGUAUUGCCAGAAUUUAAAUGGUUAAAGUGAGUAUUUGAAUUCAUAGUUCUUUCUUUUCAAGACACUGUGUUUGUGUUUUAUUGGAAUAAACUAUCAUAAUUUGCAGUUACUAAGACACAGCUCUUCAAUAUUUUUCA